AUUGAACGCUGGCGGCAGGCCUAACACAUGCAAGUCGAGCGGAUGAAGGGAGCUUGCUCCUGGAUUCAGCGGCGGACGGGUGAGUAAUGCCUAGGAAUCUGCCUGGUAGUGGGGGAUAACGUCCGGAAACGGGCGCUAAUACCGCAUACGUCCUGAUGGAGCAAGUGGGGGAUCUUCGGACCUCACGCUAUCAGAUGAGCCUAGGCCGGAUUAGCUAGUUGGUGGGGUAAAGGCCUACCAAGGCGGCGAUCCGUAACUGGUCUGAGGGGAUGAUCGGUCACACGGGAGGUGAGACACGGUCCAGACUACUACGGGAGGCAGCAGUGGGGAAUGUUGGACAAUGGGCGAAAGCCUGAUCCAGCCAUGGCGCGUGUGUGAAGAAGGUCUUCGGAUUGUAAAGCACGUUAAGUUGGGAGGAAGGGCAGUAAGUUGAUACCUUGCUGUUUUGACGUUACCGAGAGAAUAAGCACCGGCUAACUUCGUG
This 484-nucleotide ribosomal RNA is filed under the name uncultured bacterium. RNAcentral describes it as "partial 16S ribosomal RNA". It matches the Rfam family "Bacterial small subunit ribosomal RNA", at positions 30 to 507 of the family's 1533-position model. The record is from RNAcentral.